AACGAACGCUGGCGGCAUGCCUAACACAUGCAAGUCGAACGAGACCUUCGGGUCUAGUGGCGCACGGGUGCGUAACGCGUGGGAAUCUGCCCUUGGGUUCGGAAUAACAGUUGGAAACGACUGCUAAUACCGGAUGAUGACGUAAGUCCAAAGAUUUAUCGCUCAAGGAUGAGCCCGCGUAGGAUUAGCUAGUUGGUGAGGUAAAGGCUCACCAAGGCGACGAUCCUUAGCUGGUCUGAGAGGAUGAUCAGCCACACUGGGACUGAGACACGGCCCAGACUCCUACGGGAGGCAGCAGUGGGGAAUAUUGGACAAUGGGCGGAAGCCUGAUCCAGCAAUGCCGCGUGAGUGAUGAAGGCCUUAGGGUUGUAAAGCUCUUUUACCCGGGAUGAUAAUGACAGUACCGGGAGAAUAAGCUCCGGCUAACUCCGUG
This 433-nucleotide ribosomal RNA is filed under the name uncultured bacterium. Its description in RNAcentral is "partial 16S ribosomal RNA". It matches the Rfam family "Bacterial small subunit ribosomal RNA", at positions 29 to 507 of the family's 1533-position model. The record is from RNAcentral.